AGGUUCCAACGAAACCCCACACCUCUAUUCGGAACAUUAAUCGAAGUUAUAGCCCACCAAAACAUGAACAAAGACUGCGAGAAACUCUCGGGUUAGGGGGGGUUACACUGGCCUGGUUCUUGCUGCAGCGAGAAACUCUCGGGUGGUCCCAAGAUUCUAGUGCAAUGCUUUCACUUCGACAAAGAUUUUGACCACCUUCCGAUCAGAACUGGGCAAAGUGAUCUGUAGCUAGUUGGGAUCGAGAUUAAAGAGACCACUCGUAUUCACCCCUUGGUAUGUAUAUGGCAUUCAGUAGCUGUGCCCUCACCUAAAUCACUCCGCUGGUCGUCAAGAAUUUUGUAUGUGGAUUUACACUCUAUGUAAAUCGCUAAGA
Theobroma cacao (cacao) is the source of this 373-nucleotide non-coding RNA. Lineage: Eukaryota; Viridiplantae; Streptophyta; Magnoliopsida; Malvales; Malvaceae. The record is from RefSeq and is a predicted model, not a curated record.